AUGUAAUCGAUGUAGUGAGAGCAUCUGUAGUACUUCUUCACUUCCGAUUUGAAUUUUCGACUGUCGCAAAACCUUAUCAGCAGGGCUGUUGACCUUUCUACAAAAGGAGAAAGAGGAGUCGGUAAGAGGUAGCAGACACCAGAUAGACUAGAGAAGUUCCCACCCCUCCGAGGUCUGAAGUCCGAGAUCACCAAAAAAAAAAAAAAAACCAGACAUAUUGUUAAGCUGAUGUAAUUUAAGACGCAGUUGCGCGAUUGUCCCAGGAGAGGACGAAGAUCGAAGAUCCCUGGAUGAAUGUGGAUGGAUGGCAGCAGGCAAUGACUUAGCGUCAAGCUGUCUCGAUCUUGGGCUGGCUUUAUCCUUAUCUAUGCAGUUCAUUAUCUACCAAACGAAAGCACAUGCUAAUUUAUAGACAACGUGAUGUUGUUUUGCUCAUUUCCUCCGCAUUUUUUUUCUCGUCGCUUUUCAUAUUUUGUGCAUAAACAAAGUCAAGUGAUUUGAUUUUUUGGCCAACGCGACGGCGACGCCGCUUCUCAAUCGGAUUCACCGAAUGUGGGUCAUCGACGUCAGCGGAGAUGGGGGUCUUAUUUGCUUCGGAAGAUUCCCUUUGUUAGGGCAGUUCACUUGUUGAUGGGCGUUUGGUAAUAGAUAACAAAAAUGGUCAAGUAGUACUUGUAUAUCUGCGAGUUUUCUU
Non-coding RNA from Drosophila melanogaster (fruit fly), 694 nucleotides. NCBI's taxonomy places the organism in Eukaryota, Metazoa, Arthropoda, Insecta, Diptera, Drosophilidae. The record is from Ensembl.